Molecule: transfer RNA, 65 nt
Filed under: Donacia flemola
Lineage: Eukaryota; Metazoa; Arthropoda; Insecta; Coleoptera; Chrysomelidae
Description: tRNA-Met
Source: RNAcentral
AAAAAGAUAAGCUAAAUAAGCUAUUGGGUUCAUACCUCAAUUAUAAAGAUAAACUUUUCUUUUUA